UGGGCCAGAGUCCCAGGAGCUCUUGGAGUGU
RNAcentral lists this non-coding RNA (31 nucleotides) under Homo sapiens (human). The record is from RNAcentral. Lineage: Eukaryota; Metazoa; Chordata; Mammalia; Primates; Hominidae.